This 657-nucleotide long non-coding RNA is filed under the name Salmo salar (Atlantic salmon). RNAcentral's name for it is "lncRNA (ENSSSAG00000103790.1)". Lineage: Eukaryota; Metazoa; Chordata; Actinopteri; Salmoniformes; Salmonidae. The record is from RNAcentral.
UGCAAAUACCAUGCUCUACCAACUGAGCUACAGGGACCGUGGAUCAGUGUGUUACUUUCACCAUGUGGUCUACAAUGGCACCCAGAGAGCCAUUUUAAAGCAGCAUAGCCUCGUUCCAGACAGACACCAGGAAUAGUCUUGGCCUGUAUCCGAAAUAGCACCUUAUUCCCUAUACAGUGCACUACUUUUGACCAGAGCGCUGUUCAAAAGUGGGCCCUGGUCAAAAGUAGUGCACUGUAUAGGCAACAGGGUACCAUUGGAGGCACAGCCAUAGGCCUACGGUAGGCUCUGCUCCAGGGAACAGCCACUUGCAUAACCUGCAGCUCAAUACCUAUUUAUUGUUGUAGAGUUGCACUGGGUCAGAGGCUUAUUGAGGCUUCUUCCAUUCAAUCCACAGAGAUCUUCCCUACUCAGAUGUAAAGGGAGGUUAAUACACGGUGCUGUGGCUGAGGUUAAUAAACGGUGCUGUGGCUGAGGUUAAUAAACGGUGCUGUGGCUGAGGUUAAUACACGGUGCUGUGGCUGAGGUUAAUAAACGGUGCUGUGGCUGAGGUUAAUACACGGUGCUGUGGCUGAGGUUAAUACACGGUGCUGUGGCUGAGGUUAAUACACGGUGCUGUGGCUGAGGUUUGUUUACCCUCGUGUGUGUGUGUGUGUG